Molecule: long non-coding RNA, 438 nt
Filed under: Homo sapiens (human)
Lineage: Eukaryota; Metazoa; Chordata; Mammalia; Primates; Hominidae
Description: non-protein coding lnc-CTSV-2:6
Source: RNAcentral
GGCUUCCAUCAGAGUAGACACUGAACGUUUUCAUCCAACCGGAUGAUGAGUGCAUUAGAACUACAUAAGAGAUGAAAUCCUUUCUCCCUGGGACAUAGAAAAAUAAUCCACAUCUUCACAACAACAGCUGUUCCUCUAUAGCCUCCCAUGAGACCGGAACCAUCACGACUGCGCUGCUGCUUAUGAUUUGCUUCGUUGUAUUUAAUGUGAGCAACUCGUGCCACAGCAUUUACCUAAGUACGGUGAAGAAAAGGGAUCAGUUGUGGACCAUCUCAGAUUUGAUUUCCUCAUGUUACCCCAUUUUUUGGUCCAUUUUUGCUCAUUGGUAGAGAAAGUCUUAUCCUGAAUUCAAAAUCUAUGAAGUAGAGAAAGUCGUCUUAUCCCAUAGAUAUGUCAAAGUAAACUUUCACCAAUAUAAACUUUUUCCAAAACAACAUU